CCGUAGCGAAAGCGAGUCUGAAAAGGGCGCAUAAGUAACAGGUCGUAGACCCGUAACCAGGUGAUCUACCCUUGUCCUGGAUGAUGGUAAGGUAAUACUUACUGGAGGUCCGAACCCACGCACGUUGAAAUGUGCGGGGUUGAGGUGUGGGUUGCGGAGAUAUUCCUAUCGAACUUGGAGAUUGCUGGUUCUCUCCGAAUUAGCGUUAGGGCUAGCCUCGAGGUAAAGAGU
Molecule: ribosomal RNA, 231 nt
Filed under: Listeria monocytogenes
Lineage: Bacteria; Bacillati; Bacillota; Bacilli; Caryophanales; Listeriaceae
Description: partial 23S ribosomal RNA
Rfam family: Bacterial large subunit ribosomal RNA
Source: RNAcentral